Non-coding RNA from Chlorocebus sabaeus (green monkey), 434 nucleotides. The record is from RefSeq and is a predicted model, not a curated record. NCBI's taxonomy places the organism in Eukaryota, Metazoa, Chordata, Mammalia, Primates, Cercopithecidae.
AUGAAUGCUGUGCUGUUGCUGCCAAUCCUGGAAUGAAGUGAGACUCCCCUCCCCAGCCUCCUGACAGAGUCAUCUCAUUUCUACUUUGAAAAAUUAAAGAACAAAGUCACUCCAUCAGGGCCUACUCGCUGCCCAGAUGAGCACAUACACAUUGGCUGGAUGACAUGAAACUUGCCCUUCUUGUCCUACACAUCCGGAUCUAAAAGUAUACGUUUUGGAAAGAGGCCUUAUUCAUCUAACUACUUUUUAUUUUAAGGAACGUGUACUCUGAACAAGGAAGGCAAAGGACAUGGGGCAGGCAUUGAGGAGGACAACCUUGAGUGGACACAUCUGGGGAAGCGUGUGUGGACGUGGAGCUGCCACAAGAUCAGCAUCUCCUGGAGUGAUCGGCUGAGCCCGGAGGAGGUGGCCCUGGAGAGUUCUGGGAGCCAAAG